AUGUCUCUUUCUCUACAGCUGUUAGCUAGAAACACUUGCCGCCCAAUGCUAAAAACAAUGGAGGAGAGGUUAAUAGCAGCGGUGUCCGACUAUCCCGAGUUAUACAACUCUACAAUAAAUUCAUAUAAAGACGCUGCUAGAAAAGCCAAAGCAUGGAGAGCCGUGAGUCUGCAAGUGGAAAUCCCUGAACUAACAGAACGUGUAUUUGAGUUGAAAAGGCAUUGGAUGGGUUAAUCUGCUAGAUAUGACGCUUAUCUGUACGCAAGCAUGAGUUGUUUUGAGUUUGGUGAUCUGCACAGUAAGUGGGAUUUGCUUUCAUUGAAAGUUUAUUGAAUUCUGUUUUGAUGCACAAAGCGAUCAUUUGAACCAGAGAUGCAUCAGUCAGAUUUGGUUUUGUAUAGUAAAAAAUUUUUUUUUAUUUUUUUUUUUGCAAAGUAUGAUGCUCACGCUUGCAUACUUUUCGAUGCUGUAUCCAUCAAUUUAGACGUCAUUUGCUAAAUACAUUACUGAAUAUGUUUUAAUAUGCUGGAAAAGUUUUACAUAUUCACUGGUACAUGUUGUAAAUUGUGAUCUAAACUGGCCCUAGACAUACAUUUUUUUUUCUCCAUGCAAGAAAUUAGUAUUAUUGUUCAAUAUUUCAUUUAUGUAAUUAAAAUUAAAUGUAUUUGUGCUUAAAUUGCUACUUAUUGACAAUUGUAAGAUUUGUUGUUUUGUCAUUAAUAUGCUUAAUUAACUUCUAAUUGUAAAAUCUUUGUAUAUUUAACUAAUAUAAUUAACUAUAGUUAAGAAUACAUGUAUGUCUAUUCAAAAUAGAUUGAUAUUUUACACAUACACACACACACACACAAACACAUAAAUAUAUAUAUAUAUAUAUAUAUAUAUAUAUAUAUAUGUUAUAUUAAUAAUUAUCAUUGAUUAAAUCACUAUUUAUUGAUUAUUGUAAAAUUGUUAUUUUUAUUCAAUAUACAUAUGCUUAAAUUACUACUUAUUGUAAAAUGUAUUGCUAAUUAUAUUAUGAAUUAAAUAUAG
This is a long non-coding RNA of Cyprinus carpio (common carp), 1029 nucleotides long. The record is from Ensembl. NCBI's taxonomy places the organism in Eukaryota, Metazoa, Chordata, Actinopteri, Cypriniformes, Cyprinidae.